Molecule: transfer RNA, 74 nt
Filed under: Chlorobiales bacterium
Lineage: Bacteria; Pseudomonadati; Chlorobiota; Chlorobiia; Chlorobiales
Description: tRNA-Val
Rfam family: tRNA
About the family: Transfer RNA (tRNA) molecules are approximately 80 nucleotides in length. Their secondary structure includes four short double-helical elements and three loops (D, anti-codon, and T loops).
Source: RNAcentral
GCGCGGUUAGCUCAGUUGGUUAGAGCGCCACCUUGACACGGUGGAGGUCAGAGGUUCGAAUCCUCUACCGCGCA